GUGUUUGAGCCCUAAGAGAAGAUAAUUGAUUGUCGUUCUCACUAUUUUCUGCCUAAACUGCAGCUUUGAAUGUCAGAACAACUUGUGUGCGGCCCACAGCCCUUACAGGGUUAAUAAGGUCAUUGUUGGGCGGAGUCUCUUAUUCAGAGCUGAGCAAUUUGAUUGGCUUUUGAACUAAUUAGGAACGUUCAGGUGAAAUGGAGGUGGUUAAUAAACACGAUCAUCAGCCGUAAAGGGUCAUUUGUCUGUUGCAGUUCUGACCAGUUCAUCCUCCCAUGGGACUUUGUCUGCUUGUGGGCUUAGCCCUGUCUCCUCUGACCCACUCAUCAUGGAUGUGAUUCUGCUGUGAUGUUCGCAGUUCAGCAACAUGGCCACUUUCAUCUGUAAUUAGCGAAGGUGAACUGGGCCACAGGCAACUCAAAUCACUUGCCCCCAGGCCCAGAAUGAACAAAUCCGUUGCCUGCUUUGUGCUCAUUGGAACAGUUUAAUAAUGAUUUAAUAAUGGAGUUUCCUCUGAUGAUCCCAAUGGACUUGCUGUGGGACUUCUCAGUGCUGCUGCCAUGGGGUCUCCCCAAUAUCAGGCUUAAUGGGGGGACACGAGAUUAAGCAAAUGGCGUUGAAUCAAGAGAAUAAAAUGAAUGGGACAAGAGAAGCAGAAGAAAAGGAGUCAAACGGAGGAAGAUCCCGAGAGCCGUGGGGUGAAAAGGACAAGAGAACCCUCCACGAGGAAAAACAUCCCCAAUGAAUUUACGUUCUGAAGCCACAUUUCCAGAUUUGGUCUGUAUUUGUCUCACGGGUUUUGUUUCAUGAAAUGAAGAAUAUUCUGUCUCCGGAAAGGAGUUGCAAAUUGGGAGGC
Xenopus laevis (African clawed frog) is the source of this 856-nucleotide long non-coding RNA. RefSeq lists it as uncharacterized. NCBI's taxonomy places the organism in Eukaryota, Metazoa, Chordata, Amphibia, Anura, Pipidae. The transcript is spliced from 3 exons. The record is from RefSeq and is a predicted model, not a curated record.